GGGGAACGGAGUUCAUGCCCGAAAGGGUAGACCUCCCACCCUUGUGUAUUAUUACUUUGUUGCUUUGGCGAGCUGCCUUCGGGCCUUGUAUGCUCGCCAGAGAAUACCAAAACUCUUUUUAUUAAUGUCGUCUGAGUACUAUAUAAUAGUUAAAACUUUCAACAACGGAUCUCUUGGUUCUGGCAUCGAUGAAGAACGCAGCGAAAUGCGAUAAGUAAUGUGAAUUGCAGAAUUCAGUGAAUCAUCGAAUCUUUGAACGCACAUUGCGCCCCUUGGUAUUCCGGGGGGCAUGCCUGUUCGAGCGUCAUUUCAACCCUCAAGCUUAGCUUGGUAUUGAGUCUAUGUCAGUAAUGGCAGGCUCUAAAAUCAGUGGCGGCGCCGCUGGGUCCUGAACGUAGUAAUAUCUCUCGUUACAGGUUCUCGGUGUGCUUCUGCCAAAACCCAAAUUUUUCUAUGGUUGACCUCGGAUCAGGUAGGGAUACCCGCUGAACUUAAGCAUAUCAAUAGGCCGGAGGAA
Molecule: ribosomal RNA, 517 nt
Filed under: Botrytis cinerea
Lineage: Eukaryota; Fungi; Ascomycota; Leotiomycetes; Helotiales; Sclerotiniaceae
Description: eukaryotic LSU rRNA
Rfam family: 5.8S ribosomal RNA (bases 154-307)
Source: RNAcentral